Long non-coding RNA from Gavia stellata (red-throated loon), 787 nucleotides. RefSeq lists it as uncharacterized. Lineage: Eukaryota; Metazoa; Chordata; Aves; Gaviiformes; Gaviidae. The record is from RefSeq and is a predicted model, not a curated record. The transcript has 5 exons.
UCUUCUCCUUCAGGAAGCAGCCAGUAUGGUGGGCAGGGCUCAUAUUCUGGAGGCAGACAACAUGGUAAACCAGGCUUCUCUACCUCAGGAAGCACUUAUUCUGGGAAACCGAAUUCACCUUCCUCAGGGGGCAGUCAAGUGAGCUCUGCUGGGAAACACUCCACUCCCCGACUCCUGCUGUUACUCAGUGUUUUGAGUGCCUUUGCUCUCUCUGCUGCUACAUCAAAAUGGUCUCUAUGAACUUCUGAAGAGUUGCCUUGGCAUCCUAGACAUGGAUUAUAUUCAAUGAUAUUAGACUAAUUACUUGAUGUAAGAAAAAAAAUUACCCUUAAGUCAAAUUGGCAGAUGCUGCUUGGCUGUUACGUUGCAUGUCUAGCUAGUAUGUCAUGCCUCUCAUUAGUUUACCUUUGGUUUUAGUCAUUAGUAGAUAUCAUUAGUUUUGUCACUGUUUUUAGGCAUCAUUUUAAGAGAGCAUAUUGUACCCUACCUGUAUGAUUUAUUUUUAUUUCUGAUGGGGAAUGAGAUGAACACCUACCUGAAAUCUGAUUGGUGCGACAAACAAAUACUUGGUUAUUAACCAAAGCGGAGGAGGUCAAACAAAUUGUUGUAUAUGCAAACUGAGCACUGUGCCUGGUCAUCAUCGCAUAAAAUAAGGCUAAUGUAAACAUCUGAUAAGCUGUCCUCCAGGGGACAGAAAAAAAGAUGCUAAAAUAGUAUCAGAGUAUUGUUUUUAGUCUAUCGUAGUCAAAUGCAAGUUCAAUAUGGAGGUUGCAAAGCAAAAAAAAAA